CGGGGUGUAGCGCAGUUGGUAGCGCGCGCGUCUGGGGGGCGCGGUGUCGCAGGUUCAAGUCCUGUCACUCCGACCA
Molecule: transfer RNA, 76 nt
Filed under: Oscillospiraceae bacterium
Lineage: Bacteria; Bacillati; Bacillota; Clostridia; Eubacteriales; Oscillospiraceae
Description: tRNA-Pro
Rfam family: tRNA
About the family: Transfer RNA (tRNA) molecules are approximately 80 nucleotides in length.
Source: RNAcentral